UACGGCUACCUUGUUACGACUUAGCCCCAGUCACUGAGUUUACCUUCGGCCGCUCCCUCCCUAAGGUUGGGUCACGGACUUCGGGUACCCUCAACUUCCAUGGCUUGACGGGCGGUGUGUACAAGGCCCGGGAACGUAUUCACCGCGUCGUAGCUGAUACGCGAUUACUAGCGAUUCCAGCUUCACGGAGUCGGGUUGCAGACUCCGAUCCGAACUGAGACCGGCUUUGUGGAUUCGCUCCCCCUCGCGGGGUGGCAGCCCAUUGUACCGGCCAUUGUAGCACGUGUGCAGCCCCAGGCGUAAGGGCCAUGAUGACUUGACGUCGUCCCCACCUUCCUCACUGCUUGCGCAGGCAGUCUCGCUAGAGUCCCCGGCAUUACCCGCUGGUAACUAGCGAUAGGGGUUGCGUUCGUUGCGGGACUUAACCCAACAUCUCACGACACGAACUGACGACAGCCAUGCAGCACCUCACUACCAGCCCGAAGGAGACCCCUUUUCGGGGGUUGUCCGGUAGUGUUCGAGCCUGGGUAAGGUUCUUCGCGUUGCAUCGAAUUAAGCCACAUGCUCCACCGCUUGUGCGGGCCCCCGUCAAUUCCUUUGAGUUUCAACCUUGCGAUCGUACUCCCCAGGUGGGAUGCUUAACGCGUUAGCUUGGACACUGCCCCUGAAACGGACCAGCAUCGAGCAUCCAUCGUUUAC
Molecule: ribosomal RNA, 699 nt
Filed under: uncultured bacterium
Lineage: Bacteria
Description: partial 16S ribosomal RNA
Source: RNAcentral